This 58-nucleotide transfer RNA is filed under the name Salmo salar (Atlantic salmon). It matches the Rfam family "tRNA", at positions 9 to 63 of the family's 71-position model. Rfam says of the family: Transfer RNA (tRNA) molecules are approximately 80 nucleotides in length. Lineage: Eukaryota; Metazoa; Chordata; Actinopteri; Salmoniformes; Salmonidae. The record is from Rfam by way of RNAcentral.
AGAUUAAUUUGGUAGAGCUUGGUGUUUGCAACACCAGGGUUGUGGGUUCGAUUCCCAC